UACAGAGGGGGCGAGCGUUAAUCGGAAUUACUGGGCGUAAAGCGCACGUAGGCGGCGACGUAAGUCGGGUGUGAAAGCCCCGGGCUCAACCUGGGAAUUGCAUUCGAGACUGCAUUGCUGGAGUACAGAAGAGGAGGGCGGAAUUCCCGGUGUAGAGGUGAAAUGCGUAGAUAUCGGGAGGAACAUCAGUGGCGAAGGCGGCCCUCUGGUCCAGUACUGACACUCAAGUGCGAAAGCGUGGGGAGCAAACAGG
RNAcentral lists this ribosomal RNA (253 nucleotides) under uncultured bacterium. RNAcentral's name for it is "partial 16S ribosomal RNA". It matches the Rfam family "Bacterial small subunit ribosomal RNA", at positions 524 to 776 of the family's 1533-position model. The record is from RNAcentral.